AUCGCUUCUCGGCCUUUUGGCUAAGAUCAAGUAUAGCCAAAUUACAAAAAGUGCAUUUUAUGCUGCUAUGCAUUAAAUUUGCUAGCAAAUACUUUUUUCGGUUUCAGGGUUUUGAAAAUUGAAGUGCACAUU
Anolis carolinensis (green anole) is the source of this 132-nucleotide small nuclear RNA. Its record names the gene U2. It matches the Rfam family "U2 spliceosomal RNA". Rfam says of the family: U2 is a small nuclear RNA (snRNA) component of the spliceosome (involved in pre-mRNA splicing). Complementary binding between U2 snRNA (in an area lying towards the 5' end but 3' to hairpin I) and the branchpoint sequence (BPS) of the intron results the bulging out of an unpaired adenosine, on the BPS, which initiates a nucleophilic attack at the intronic 5' splice site, thus starting the first of two transesterification reactions that mediate splicing. Lineage: Eukaryota; Metazoa; Chordata; Lepidosauria; Squamata; Anolidae. The record is from Ensembl.